This 258-nucleotide ribosomal RNA is filed under the name uncultured bacterium. RNAcentral describes it as "partial 16S ribosomal RNA". It matches the Rfam family "Bacterial small subunit ribosomal RNA", at positions 524 to 776 of the family's 1533-position model. The record is from RNAcentral.
UACGUAGGGGGGCAAGCGUUGUCCGGAAUCAUUGGGCGUAAAGAGCGCGUAGGCGGUCCGGUAAGUCCGCUCUGAAAGUCCGGGGGCUCAACCCCCGGGCCUGCAUUCGAUACGGGCAGACUAGAGUUCGGUAGGGGGAGUCUGGAAUUCCUGGUGUAGCGGUGAAAAUGCGCAGAUAUCAGGAGGAACACCGGUGGCGAAGGCGGGACUCUGGGCCGAUACUGACGCUGAGGAGCGAAAGCGUGGGGAGCGAACAGG